Molecule: long non-coding RNA, 1699 nt
Filed under: Brassica napus (rape)
Lineage: Eukaryota; Viridiplantae; Streptophyta; Magnoliopsida; Brassicales; Brassicaceae
Description: long non-coding RNA (BNAP_LNC019391)
Source: RNAcentral
GGGUGAAGAACUGGAUGAGGAUAACUAUCGGAGUGGAAGCUCAUAUGCUUGAGGAUGCACUUGAGAGACUCAAGGGUUUCUGUACACGCCAUACCAAGAAGACAGAUACAGAAACUGAGUCACCUUCAAGCGUUGAAAAUGAGUGAUAGUGUCGGGAUAGUGGAUAUUACAUGAAUUGUACACGCCCCCAAUGUACGUACAAUGUGCCAGGGGGAUGUUCUUGUCAUAUAUCAUGCCUUUCCCAUUCCCUUCUGUUUUAUUAUCUAACUAGGAUAAGAUCUGCGCCUUGCGCGGGGUUAGGCAAUGAAGUUAUUACAGUGGUCUAGAGAUCCGCAAGUUCGAUCUUCUUCCCGACAGAGAAUGGGAGAUCGAUCUCGAAGGCGUCGAAGCCGUUGCAGACGAGAACACUGUGGCCAUUGUUGUGAUCAACCCAAACAACCCAUGUGGAAACGUCUACUCUCACGACCAUCUCCACAAGGUAAAGCUUGAAUCUUUGAGUCCUUUCCGAUUCGUAACGCAGCUAAAAGCUCGAACAUUUUAUUUAUAGGUGGCAGAGACGGCUCGGAAGCUGGGGAUAAUGGUGAUCACAGACGAAGUGUACGACCAGACUAUAUUCGGAGACAACCCUUUCGUUCCGAUGGCCAAGUUCGCAUCGAUCGUCCCUGUGUUGACGCUGGGAGGCAUAUCCAAAGGUUGGGUUGUCCCUGGAUGGAAGAUUGGCUGGAUCGCCUUGAAUGAUCCCGAGGGCGUUUUCGAGUCCACCAAGGUCUCUCUUUACUUCUUUCUUCUCUUUGCUGCUUUGUAACCAAGUAAUCUUAGUAUGUAUAGUUAUUCUUCUGACAGGUGGUUCAAUCCAUCAAGCAGAGUCUAGACAUAACACCUGACCCUUCCACUAUCAUUCAGGUUUGUGUCUUGCUACUAUAGAAUAAUAAUGGGAUGGCUUGGCUUGGCUUGGUUGUUAAGUUAACUAGUCGUCCUUGAAUUCAUGAAUAUGUUUUUCUUUUUGACAGGCUGCACUUCCUGAGAUCCUGGAGAAAGUGGAUAAAAACUUCUUUGCAAAGAAGAACAAGAUACUCAAACAUAAUGUCGAUUUGGUGUGUGAUAGGCUCAAGGAUAUUCGCUGCGUCGUCUGUCCCAAGAAACCCGAGUCUUGCACUUAUCUAUUGGUACGGCUUUAGAACCUGAUUAACAGAUAAGCAUUCUCGAUAUUAACAGUUUUACUUACUGCAGACAAAGCUUGAGCUGUCAUUGUUGGAUGGCAUCAAGGAUGACAUUGAUUUUUGCGUGAAGCUGGCCAGAGAGGAAAACCUCGUGUUUCUUCCAGGUAAAGCAAAAUAACAUGAAUCUCGAUAUGGGAUUUGAUACUAAUAAUAGAUUUCGUUUGCAGGAGAGGCUCUGGGGGUGAAGAACUGGAUGAGGAUAACUAUCGGAGUGGAAGCUCAUAUGCUUGAGGAUGCACUUGAGAGACUCAAGGGUUUCUGUACACGCCAUACCAAGAAAACAGAUACAGAAACUGAGUCACCUUCAAGCGUUGAAAAUGAGUGAUAGUGUCGGUAUAGUGGAUAUUACAUGGAUUGUACACGCCCCCAAUGUACGUACAAUGUGCCAGGGGGAUGUUCUUGUCAUAUUUCAAUGCCUUUCCCAUUCCCUUCUGUUUUAUUAUCUAAUCUAAAUUUCAAACCAAAUAAAAACUGUUGUA